This 280-nucleotide ribosomal RNA is filed under the name uncultured Staphylococcus sp. Its description in RNAcentral is "partial 16S ribosomal RNA". It matches the Rfam family "Bacterial small subunit ribosomal RNA", at positions 81 to 354 of the family's 1533-position model. Lineage: Bacteria; Bacillati; Bacillota; Bacilli; Caryophanales; Staphylococcaceae. The record is from RNAcentral.
CUCCUUUGACGUUAGCGGCGGACGGGUGAGUAACACGUGGGUAACCUACCUAUAAGACUGGGAUAACUUCGGGAAACCGGAGCUAAUACCGGAUAAUAUUUCGAACCGCAUGGUUGAUAGUGAAAGGUGGUUUUGCUAUCACUUAUAGAUGGACCCGCGCCGUAUUAGCUAGUUGGUAAGGUAACGGCUUACCAAGGCGACGAUACGUAGCCGACCUGAGAGGGUGAUCGGCCACACUGGAACUGAGACACGGUCCAGACUCCUACGGGAGGCAGCAGAC